This is a non-coding RNA of Kogia breviceps (pygmy sperm whale), 1851 nucleotides long. NCBI's taxonomy places the organism in Eukaryota, Metazoa, Chordata, Mammalia, Artiodactyla, Physeteridae. The record is from RefSeq and is a predicted model, not a curated record.
CUCAUUUUUAUCAGUGUGAGUUUUUGGGGGAUCCAAGUAGCCCAGUUUCUACAAUUGAUAGCUACAUUUUGGGGUGAAUCCAGGGCACUAAGUAACAAUUUCCAAGUGGAAAAAGGCUGGAAUCACUUGACAACAGGCAUCCACCCUGCAAGGGUGCCCAGAUCUCCCCUGGGCGUGUCUUUCCUUGGCCUCCAGAGAGAAUGUUCACCAACCUCACAUCAUCACAGACCAACAGCCCCGCCCAGGCGCAGCCAUGGGGCGGCAGCCAACACCACGCCUGAGGCCAGAGGAGCCCUCCUGGGGGCCACGUGACUCAGACCUGGUGACCGGCCCUUGACAGUCAGCAGAAGGUCACAGGGGCCUUCAGAGACCUGAAUGGGAAGGAGAAAAGCACGGUCAUCUCCUUCUCCAAGGAAACAAUCAAGAGAGAACACUUCUGUGGUACUCAUUUGAAUAAUAUUCCUUUUCACCUGCCAUGGAAAGUGAUCUGGAUAUUAACCAACGUUACUUUCAAUAAGUGCAGCUGCAAGGGUUGCUUCGUACCAUGUUUUCUUUUCUUUUCUCUCUUUCUUUAUUUUUCUGGCCACACCGCAAGGCUUGCAGGAUUUUAGUUCCCUGACCAGCGACUGAACCCGGGCCCUGGCAGUGAAAGCGCCGAGUCCUAACCGCUGGACCGCCAGGGAAUUCCCCAUAUUUUAUUUUCAACGUCACUGGAAGGGCUACCUGGAAAAAUUGCUCAGAACCUAUUUCCAGGACCUCCUGCGGUUGACUUUAGUCUGUAAAGUCUUCAUUCUCUCCCGUGUCGCUGCCGAGUCAAGUUAAGAACAUGCCACUCCAGUUCUGUGCAUUCCGGUUUUCCACCUUGAACGAUGUACAAGGACAUUCUCUCCUAAUUUGUUUUCCUGCCGUAUUUUGUUGCUGGACAGGACGUCUAUUCAGCUCUGCCCCACCGCGCCUUCAUCUCCACUUGUGGGAAUUUGUAGAGGUUCAGCGGUGUCUCCCUGAGCAGGAAAAAGCUGAUGUGGUUCCUGCAGUGACAGCGGUGGCUUUGUUCUGUUUCUCACAGGUGAAAUUCAGGAGAGGGAAACCCCUGAACAAUGAGCAAAGAACCAGCGGAGGGAAGGGGUCCCCAGGUGGUUAACUGGUCUGUUUAUAUACUGGUUUCAGUAUUGGUCGCUACUACCCCAUGGGAAAGACCUUUAUAAAAUAGAGUCCACUGUUUAUGUGGGGUUCGUUUUGCCUUUAGUCUACAGAGUCUGUUCAUUUCCAAAGUUACCGAGCUCCGCACCUUUUGCCCCACCACCAACACCAUUAUGAAUGGAGAUGCUGCGGACAUAAUUUAUCAAAACAGUUGUCUAAAUGGUGGAAGAGCAAUUGUUGGAUCCUGAGAUGGGAUCCUGGCUGCAGACAGUUGGUCCUCAAGCUUCCCACCUAAGAGAACCCUGAGGUCUCCCCCGUCAUCAGCUGAUACCUUGCUAGGUUGUUCAUGGAGAAAUUGCCCACCUGGCAAGAGCAGAAGCAUCUUCCCAACACGUGAGAGAAGAGCGCGCAUGGGCUCGCACCCAUCUUAUCCCUCCCUGCCUGCCCUGGCUCCAUCGUGUCAGGAAAAGGUGUCCCUCCUCCUGCCCAAAGCCAGACCCCAGCUAAAGGACUUCGAUGUAAAGGAAACCAGAUUAUUGUCUUGAGCUACAGACACUUGAAAAACCAAAACCAAAACAGCAGCAGAACCAAAACAAACAACCCCCCACUACAACACAUGCAAGAAGGAUGUGGAGAUCCCUGUCCUCUUUCUUCCUGGAAGCAGGAGAUCACAUAUCCAUCCCCCCCGACCCCACCGCCCAGGAAAGAGGU